RNAcentral lists this ribosomal RNA (496 nucleotides) under uncultured bacterium. RNAcentral describes it as "partial 16S ribosomal RNA". It matches the Rfam family "Bacterial small subunit ribosomal RNA", at positions 29 to 507 of the family's 1533-position model. The record is from RNAcentral.
AUGAACGCUGGCGGCGUGCCUAAUACAUGCCAGUCGAGCGAACAGACGAGGAGCUUGCUCCUCUGAUGUUAGCGGCGGACGGGUGAGUAACACGUGGAUAACCUACCUAUAAGACUGGGAUAACUUCGGGAAACCGGAGCUAAUACCGGAUAACAUGUUGAACCGCAUGGUUCAACAGUGAAAGACGGUCUUGCUGUCACUUAUAGAUGGAUCCGCGCCGCAUUAGCUAGUUGGUAAGGCAACGGCUUACCAAGGCAACGAUGCGUAGCCGACCUGAGAGGGUGAUCGGCCACACUGGAACUGAGACACGGUCCAGACUCCUACGGGAGGCAGCAGUAGGGAAUCUUCCGCAAUGGGCGAAAGCCUGACGGAGCAACGCCGCGUGAGUGAAGAAGGUCUUCGGAUCGUAAAACUCUGUUAUUAGGGAAGAACAAAUGUGUAAGUAACUAUGCACGUCUUGACGGUACCUAAUCAGAAAGCCACGGCUAACUACGUG